RNAcentral lists this ribosomal RNA (253 nucleotides) under uncultured bacterium. RNAcentral describes it as "partial 16S ribosomal RNA". It matches the Rfam family "Bacterial small subunit ribosomal RNA", at positions 524 to 776 of the family's 1533-position model. The record is from RNAcentral.
UACGGAGGGUGCAAGCGUUAUCCGGAUUUACUGGGUUUAAAGGGUGCGUAGGUGGGUUGGGAAGUCAGUGGUGAAAUACUUUCGCUUAACGAAGGAACUGCCAUUGAUACUAUCAAUCUUGAAUGUAGUGGAGGUAGGCGGAAUGCGUCAUGUAGCGGUGAAAUGCUUAGAUAUGACGCAGAACACCAAUUGCGAAGGCAGCUUGCUGCACUACUAUUGACACUGAGGCACGAAAGCGUGGGGAUCAAACAGG